UUCAGACCCAGAACCGUUACCGGAGCGACGGCAGGAGGUCGUCCCGCCUCCCUACCCUGUUGCCAAUCGAAAAGGCGUUGCCCGGGCGACGACCCCACCUCUUCCGGUGCGGACCCCGGCUUCCGGCAGGGGGCCCGGCGGCGGGCUGGCGGUCCGGCAGCAGCGGGGUCCGGGGCUGGGGUUGGGGGGGCGCCCAAGAUGGCGGCGGGCGGCGCGGAGGGCGGCUCUGGCCCCGGCGCCGCCAUGGGGGAUUGUGCGGAAAUCAAGUCGCAGUUCCGCACCCGCGAGGGCUUCUACAAGCUGCUCCCUGGCGACGGCGCCGCCCGCAGAUCGGGUCCGGCUUCCGCCCAGACCCCGGCACCGCCCCAGCCGCCGCAACCUCAGCCCGGCCCUGCCUCUGCCUCGGGCCCCGGCGCCGCGGGCCCCGCUCCGUCCCCUCCGCCUGCAGGCCCCGGGCCCGGGCCCGCGCUGCCUGCUGUGCGCCUAAGCCUCGUGCGUCUCGGGGAGCCCGACGGCGCCGGGGCCGGGGAGCCGCCCGCCACGCCCGCGGGGCUGGGCGCCGGGGGAGACCGCGUCUGCUUCAACUUGGGCCGCGAGCUCUAUUUCUACCCGGGCUGCUGUCGCCGUGGGAGCCAACGGUCCAUUGACCUCAACAAGCCAAUUGACAAGCGGAUCUAUAAGGGCACUCAGCCCACCUGCCAUGACUUCAACCAGUUCACUGCUGCCACGGAGACCAUCUCCCUGCUGGUGGGCUUUUCAGCCGGCCAAGUCCAGUACCUGGAUCUCAUCAAGAAGGAUACCAGCAAACUAUUCAAUGAGGAGCGGCUCAUCGACAAGACCAAGGUGACGUAUCUGAAGUGGCUGCCCGAGUCAGAGAGCCUGUUCCUGGCGUCCCACGCCAGCGGCCACCUGUACCUGUACAACGUCGGCCACCCGUGCGCCUCGGCGCCGCCCCAGUAUAGCCUGCUGAAGCAGGGCGAGGGCUUUGCCGUCUACGCCGCCAAGAGCAAGGCACCCCGCAACCCGCUGGCCAAGUGGGCGGUGGGCGAGGGGCCCCUCAACGAGUUCGCCUUCUCGCCCGACGGCCGGCACCUGGCCUGCGUCAGCCAGGAUGGCUGCCUGCGCGUCUUCCACUUCGACUCCAUGCUCCUGCGGGGGCUCAUGAAGAGCUACUUUGGGGGCCUGCUCUGCGUGUGCUGGAGCCCCGAUGGGCGCUACGUUGUGACGGGGGGUGAAGACGACCUGGUCACCGUGUGGUCCUUCGCCGAGGGCCGCGUGGUGGCCCGGGGCCACGGCCACAAGUCCUGGGUCAACGCCGUGGCCUUCGACCCCUACACCACGAGGGCGGAGGAGGCGGCGGCCGCGGGCGCCGACGGGGAGCGGAGUGGCGAGGAGGAGGAGGAGCCGGAGGCUGGGAGCACAGGCUCCGGCGGGGGCGCCCCCCUGUCCCCGCUGCCCAAGGCCGGCUCCAUCACCUACCGCUUCGGCUCGGCCGGCCAGGACACGCAGUUCUGCCUGUGGGACCUCACCGAAGACGUGCUUUACCCACACCCUCCCCUGGCCCGCACACGCACCCUCCCGGGCACGCCCGGCACCACGCCGCCUACCGCCAGCGGCUCGAGGGGCGGCGAGCCGGGCCCCGGGCCCCUGCCCCGCUCACUAUCCCGCUCCAACAGCCUUCCACACCCCGCGGGCAGCGGCAAGGCGGGCGGCCCGGGCACGGCGGCAGAGCCCGGCACGCCCUUCAGCAUCGGCCGCUUCGCCACGCUCACGUUGCAGGAGCGGCGGGACCGCGGGGCCGAGAAAGAGCACAAGCGCUACCACAGUCUGGGCAACAUCAGCCGGGGUGGCAGUGGGGGCGGGGGCGGCGGGGACAAGCCCAGCGGUCCCGCCCCCCGAAGCCGGCUGGACCCCGCCAAGGUGCUGGGCACCGCGCUUUGCCCGCGCAUCCACGAGGUGCCGCUGCUGGAGCCGCUGGUGUGCAAGAAGAUCGCCCAGGAGCGGCUCACGGUCCUCCUCUUCCUGGAGGACUGCAUCAUCACUGCCUGCCAGGAGGGUCUCAUCUGCACCUGGGCCCGGCCGGGCAAGGCGUUCACAGACGAGGAGACCGAGGCCCAGACAGGGGAAGGAAGUUGGCCCAGGUCACCCAGCGAGUCAGUGGUAGAGGGCAUCUCCUCCCAGCCAGGCAACUCCCCAAGCGGCACAGUGGUGUGAAGCCGUGGAUGUCGGAGUCCCCCCACACCACACCCCCAGCCUCCUAGUGUAACCCUUCCCGCUGAACUCACAGAUCAACGUAUUAACGAGACUAACCAUGACAGAUGGACUGCUCCGGUCCCUCGCCCUGCACAGAUUUGGGGGUAGAUGGUCCCUCAGACUGGCCCAGACACUGGGGGGAUGUAGUGGCCUGUGUGGCCUCCACCUCGUCCCCACCCACUGCCAAGUACAAUGACCCCUUCCUCCGAGACAUCAGUGUUAGCCUCCCUGUCCCCAGCAUGUGACUGGUCACUCCUGGGGGAGAAACUGCCCCCCACAAGAGCCCCAGCUCUGCAGUGUGCCCCUCCGUCCUGUGCGCAGGGCAGGGGGUGGCCCACCCCUCCCCUGGCCCCAGCCCUGCCCUUGCUGUUCCUUGUGCUUUUGAAGAGUGUUAAAUUAUGGAAGCCCCUUGGGGGCCCUCCCUGUCCCCUGGGACCUCUUAUUUAUACUAAAGUUCCCUGUUUUCA
This is a long non-coding RNA of Capra hircus (goat), 2720 nucleotides long. RefSeq annotates it as dystrophia myotonica, WD repeat containing. NCBI's taxonomy places the organism in Eukaryota, Metazoa, Chordata, Mammalia, Artiodactyla, Bovidae. The transcript is spliced from 5 exons. The record is from RefSeq and is a predicted model, not a curated record.